UUCUCUUCUCUUCUCUUCUCUUCUCUUCUCUUCUCUUCUUUUCUUUUCUUUCAUCAUAUUCUUCAUUUUUAUCUACCUUAUGCAAUGGUCUUAGUACUCCAGAAGUGACAAGUAUGGAAAUUCUACUGGAAUAAUGAUCGCUAAAUUCCUCCCAAAAACAGAGAGUCCUAGAGAGUAGAAUCCAGUAGUCAAAUAUGUUCUGGGAAAUAACAAAUUACUAUCAAAUUAUCAAAUGUUUAAAAUUUAUUAUAAAAAGUUUCAAGAUUGUAAUAUUCCUAUGUUAAAAAUUCUGAGUCUUUCCCUCAAAGAGAGUGGGUUAACUAAAUAUUUUAAUUCACUAUUCACUACUCCAGUACUCUCACCUACCCUUAAAAUUGCCCUAAAGAACCACUCUUGCAAUGGUCAUGCUGUGGGCAUCAUGAAAUUAAAAGCAUUGUCUCUUAAAACUAUGCAGAAUUGAGAAAGUGUAGAUGGUGAAAUGAUGCAAAAGAUUCCUAUAGUUUUUGAAGAUGUAGAGUUAAUAUGAAUAUCUAUGUGAUAAAAGUAUAAUAGGUGGCCUUGGGUUUGCAUACAGAGGGGGAAAGUCCAUUAAGAGUGACCUAUUUUGUCCGUUCAGUUAGUCCUGGAAAAAAGGGUUUGGCUUCCUUAUGUACCUAAUUACCUGGGGCCAUAUUUCCUUAAAACUUGACUUUUUUUUUCCUGAUUCAAUUUUGUACCAGUUACUAAUGGGUCCUGUUUUCUCUGAUUUGCAAAUCUGGAAAUGAGCUGUUUGUUUGUUUGUUUUUGUUUUGUUUUGUUUUGUUUUGCCUUACACAACUGAUCUGAAAGAGACAGUAUGGAGUCUUUCUUUUUCCUCCAAUGCUGGAAGUGUGCUCAACAGGGUUUUGGUUGUACCUUAGCUCCAUAGUCACUCUUCUUUAUUCAACAGGAAAGCAACACAGCUCAGACCAUCUGAAUCUUCCUAUAUCUCAUAAAUUCUUUAUACGUAUACUGUUUUUUUUCCAUUUGAUUUGAGAAAGGGUCUCAUGUAGCUGAGGUUGGCCUAGAACUUGUGUUAUAGCUGAGACUCACAGGCUCCACCUGCCUCUACAUCUGAGUGAAUUAAAACUAUGAAUCACCACACCUGGUUCAUAUACUUAAUUGGCCAUUUGUUGGAGGUGAGGAUGGUGUCAGGUAGUAGGAUUUAGACAUCAUUUUUCUCUCAGAAGCAAGUAAGUUUAGUAGGCCAUUGUCCAUGAGUACCAGUUCUCUGUAGACUACUGACAGUUGUAUGAUGCAAGAGAAAGAGAAUGACAUUCAAAGCAGAGAACACAAUGUUGCUUUUGGUUCCAUAUUUAAGGAGUAUAACUUUCAAAAUAAUCAGUUUGAAAAGCCCCUUUGAAUCUCAGGCUAUAAUUUUUGAGGACAUACUUAUAACGGGCUAUUUCUAAUCUUGAGAAUAUUUGGGUUUGGGUGUAUUUCAAAUGUUGAUGUCAGACUGAUAUGAAAAUGCCCAUUAGUGCUCGAAAUCGAGGACAAAGGUUAUUCUAAAAACUCAACAGAUGUAAUAAAUAACUCUGAAAUGUUUUACAACAAAAAUAUGAAAUGUUGUAACUGUUAAGACUUCGAGUUAAGGUUGGCUUAGUGUUAGCCAACCAGCAGGUACAACAGAGGUUCCUGCAUCUAGCUCAUCAUCCUAGCUGCCUGGAGGGAUAAUUUCCUGACCACGAACCUUUGCUCCUCAGAACAUUAGCCUAAUUUCUUCGCAUGCUAUUCUUUAUUCAGUGUGUCUUCAUGGUACUAAUUCUCUCUUUUCAUCAAUAUACUAAUAAAGAUUCUGUGUUUUGUGCACUGUAUUUGAGAUGUCUGAAACUGGUGAAUAAAGCAUCCUGAUGAGAUCUUGAGACUCUUUUUAUAGGGUACCACUUCUACUGCUCCAGUCAAACAACAAGAAAAGACGACCACGAGCUGCAAUACAUAGGCAUACUUGAGGAUUUACUCCUGAACAAAAAAAAAUUAAUGGUAUCUUAGGGCUUGAUCU
This 2020-nucleotide long non-coding RNA is filed under the name Mus musculus (house mouse). RNAcentral describes it as "long non-coding RNA chr2:64127180-64129200". Lineage: Eukaryota; Metazoa; Chordata; Mammalia; Rodentia; Muridae. The record is from RNAcentral.